AGCUGAUCGAUGUUGCUGGCUUUGGAUUCUUUGUGAACAAAUGAGACAAGCUGCCAGAGGGAUGCUAACACCACCCACGUGCUGCAGCAGGACUUUGGAAGGGGAACCAGCACUGUAAUGAAGUGUUGGGUUGGCUCAAGGCUUGUCUGGACCACAAACCAUUUUUCAACUAUUGGUGUGUCUUUAAAACCCAAACCAACUGUGAGAGUGGUUUUCUACUUUGAUUCUAGAUGGGAAAAUAUUUUGCUUUUUUGGUGGAUGACAGUGUCAGGUCCCAAAUGGAUUCGGUUUCACUAUCCUCCAGCACGCAUGCAUAUAAUGUGAAACAUACCCACGCUCUGCAAGGGCCACAGCCACCCCACCAUUAGGUUCCAAGGCAAAUAUGCGUCCGCGGGUCCC
RNAcentral lists this long non-coding RNA (399 nucleotides) under Pongo abelii (Sumatran orangutan). Its description in RNAcentral is "lincRNA". The record is from RNAcentral. Lineage: Eukaryota; Metazoa; Chordata; Mammalia; Primates; Hominidae.